AUUGAACGCUGGCGGAAUGCUUUACACAUGCAAGUCGAACGGCAGCACGGGGGCAGCCCUGGUGGCGAGUGGCGAACGGGUGAGUAAUACAUCGGAACGUGCCCGGUCGUGGGGGAUAACGUAGCGAAAGUUACGCUAAUACCGCAUACGAUCUGAGGAUGAAAGCGGGGGACCUUCGGGCCUCGCGCGAUCGGAGCGGCCGAUGUCAGAUUAGGUAGUUGGUGGGGUAAAGGCCUACCAGGCCGACGAUCUGUAGCUGGUCUGAGAGGACGACCAGCCACACUGGGACUGAGACACGGCCCAGACUCCUACGGGAGGCAGCAGUGGGGAAUUUUGGACAAUGGGCGCAAGCCUGAUCCAGCCAUUCCGCGUGCAGGACGAAGGCCUUCGGGUUGUAAACUGCUUUUGUACGGAACGAAAAGGCUCUGGCUAAUACCUGGGGCUCAUGACGGUACCGUAAGAAUAAGCACCGGCUAACUACGUG
RNAcentral lists this ribosomal RNA (484 nucleotides) under uncultured bacterium. Its description in RNAcentral is "partial 16S ribosomal RNA". It matches the Rfam family "Bacterial small subunit ribosomal RNA", at positions 30 to 507 of the family's 1533-position model. The record is from RNAcentral.